GGCUCAGCUCCACAAGACUACCCCCUUCACAUGCCAGCAGCAAAUAUGGGGCCCAAGUUACCCACAUUUCUGCCCAGCUGACUACAAAUUCUGGUUUCCAUGACCCCCUCUCAGGUUUGAUAGUUUGCUAGAACAACUCACAAAGUGAAGGAAAAUGGUGUACUUACUAUUACUGGCUUAUUAUAAAGGCUACAACUCAGAAACAGCCAAACGGAGGAGAUGCACAGAGCAAGGUGACCAGUCCGCAUCCUGAUACUAUCUCGGAGUCCCCCAGCCAAGAAUCAUCUCAUCAGCAUAAACUCAGGCAAUGUUGAAAGGCAUUCAGAAUGGUACUGGCCAUGUAACAUCCUCAGGAAAAUGGAGAAAGGAGUCACAUCAUCUUCUGUGUUUGGAGACUGCUAUGUAAGCCAGAAUACUAGUCACACAGUGCAGGUGGGAGCGGCCGGGAAGUAACCUCCUUUUUUUUUAAGACUAAUACAUUUAUGGUAUACACCUGAAUUUGUGUUGCGGAAAUCUGAUACCCAUUGCACACAUUCUGUAUCAUGUUUAAAAUAAUUUCAACUUUUAUUUUAGAUUCAAGGGGUACACUUGCAGUUUUGUUACACGGGUUUAUUGCGUGAUGCUGAGGUUUGGGGUACAAUUGAUCGCAUCACCUUCCAGGUGUCAGCAUGUAAAAGGGAAGAUCCAAAUGACCAAUCAGGAGAUUACUGGGGGACCACAAAGUUGGGGCUCAGGUCAGCUGACCAGGUGAGACCCUGUCUCCACCAUGGGCAACAGCUCCCCUUUCCUCAGGCCCCCUGACCUUUCAGACACAACAGAUGCUGCAGUCUUCACAGGGACCUGGGGAGCCCCAGCAACUCAAUCACAUUGCUCGGUGACCCCAAAAGGCUGAUCACAUUAGCAACAGGCUUAUUUUUCGUCAUUUCAUUAUCAAAGGAUGAAGUACAGGUUCACAAAGGUUAAAUAACUUGCCCAGGCCGAGCAUGGUGGCUCAUGCCUGUAAUCCCAGCACUUUGGGAGGCUGAGGUGGGCGGAUCACCUGAGGUCGGCAGAUCACCUGAG
This 1062-nucleotide long non-coding RNA is filed under the name Homo sapiens (human). RNAcentral describes it as "HSALNT0348696". The record is from RNAcentral. Lineage: Eukaryota; Metazoa; Chordata; Mammalia; Primates; Hominidae.